GGGAUGUUAGUUCAGUUGGUAGAACAAUCGGCUGUUAACCGAUAUGUCACAGGUUCGAGUCCUGCACGUCCCG
RNAcentral lists this transfer RNA (73 nucleotides) under Bacteriophage sp. RNAcentral describes it as "tRNA-Asn". It matches the Rfam family "tRNA". From Rfam's summary of the family: Transfer RNA (tRNA) molecules are approximately 80 nucleotides in length. Their secondary structure includes four short double-helical elements and three loops (D, anti-codon, and T loops). The record is from RNAcentral.